GAUGAACGCUAGCGACAGGCUUAACACAUGCAAGUCGAGGGGCAGCAUGAUUUGUAGCAAUACAGAUUGAUGGCGACCGGCGCACGGGUGAGUAACACGUAUCCAACCUGCCGACAACACUGGGAUAGCCUUUCGAAAGAAAGAUUAAUACCGGAUGGCAUAGUUUUCCCGCAUGGGAUAAUUAUUAAAGAAUUUCGGUUGUCGAUGGGGAUGCGUUCCAUUAGGCAGUUGGCGGGGUAACGGCCCACCAAACCAACGAUGGAUAGGGGUUCUGGAGAGGAAGGUCCCCCCACAUUGGAACUGAGACACGGUCC
This 314-nucleotide ribosomal RNA is filed under the name uncultured bacterium. RNAcentral describes it as "bacterial SSU rRNA". It matches the Rfam family "Bacterial small subunit ribosomal RNA", at positions 28 to 332 of the family's 1533-position model. The record is from RNAcentral.